GACGAACGCUGGCGGCGUGCCUAAUACAUGCAAGUCGAACGAACAGUUCCUGCGUUUGCCUUUUUCUCGAUUGGGGCGGGGGGGUGUGUAACGUGUGGGAACCCCACCUUAACGUCUGGAAUAAUCCGGGAAAACAGGGGCAAACCGGGGAUAACAUCUAGAACCAUAUUGUUCUUCAGUGAAUGAUGGUUUUGCGAGCUCUUAUCGGUGGCUCCGCGCUGGAUUAGCUGGUUGGUAAGGUAACGGCUUACCAAGGCAACGAUGCGUAGCCGACCUGAGAGGGUGAUCGGCCACACUGGAACUGAGACACGGUCCAGACUCCUACGGGAGGCAGCAGUAGGGAAUCUUCGGCAAUGGGCGAAAGUCUGACGGAGCAACGCCGCGUGAGUGAUGAAGGUCUUCGGAUCGUAAAACUCUGUUAUUAGGGAAGAACAAAUGUGUAAGUAACUGAGCACGGCUUGACGGUACCUAAUCAGAAAGCCACGGCUAACUACGUG
This 497-nucleotide ribosomal RNA is filed under the name uncultured bacterium. RNAcentral's name for it is "partial 16S ribosomal RNA". It matches the Rfam family "Bacterial small subunit ribosomal RNA", at positions 28 to 507 of the family's 1533-position model. The record is from RNAcentral.